UUUUAGUGGCAUGUCAAAAUAGUACAUGUGUUACAUAACUCAAAUGGAUAAUCUAUUCCCUUUUACCGCAAAAAUGAUCCUACCAUCAUCAUUGUGUGAGUUCCCAUACAUGGUGCAUCAUGAUUUAUAUAUCCUAACAACUUUUUUGUCAAAGAUGAUACAUUAGGGUUGGUUUAGCAUUCAAAUAAAUAGGUUUUUUGCAUAAUAACUUCUAAAUUCAAUCCAAAAUUCAAUCUCCUGUAGUUCCUCCUACUCUUAACGCCACUGUCUCUCUCUCUCUCUCAUGAUUUAUAUAUCCUAACAACUUUUUUGUCAAAGAUGGUACAUUAGGGUUGGUUUAGCAUUCAAAUAAAUAGGUUUUUUGCAUAAUAACUUCUAAAUUCAAUCCAAAAUUCAAUCUCCUGUAGUUCCUCC
This 414-nucleotide long non-coding RNA is filed under the name Spirodela polyrhiza (greater duckweed). RNAcentral describes it as "long non-coding RNA (SPOL_LNC000588)". The record is from RNAcentral. Lineage: Eukaryota; Viridiplantae; Streptophyta; Magnoliopsida; Alismatales; Araceae.